GGCUGUGGCUCAGUGGCAGAGCGCUUGCCUAGCAUGUGUGAGGCACUGGGUUCAAUCCUUAGCACCA
Molecule: transfer RNA, 67 nt
Filed under: Marmota monax (woodchuck)
Lineage: Eukaryota; Metazoa; Chordata; Mammalia; Rodentia; Sciuridae
Description: tRNA.Ala
Source: RNAcentral